Molecule: unclassified non-coding RNA, 377 nt
Filed under: plant metagenome
Description: partial contains 5.8S ribosomal RNA, internal transcribed spacer 2, and large subunit ribosomal RNA
Rfam family: 5.8S ribosomal RNA (bases 1-104)
Source: RNAcentral
AAAUGCGAUAAGUAAUGUGAAUUGCAGAAUUCAGUGAAUCAUCGAAUCUUUGAACGCACCUUGCGCUCCUUGGUAUUCCUUGGAGCAUGCCUGUUUGAGUAUCAUGAAAUCUUCAAAGUAAAUCUUUUGUUAACUCAAUUGGUUUCUACUUUGGUAUUGGAGGUCUUUGCAGCUUCACACCUGCUCCUCUUUGUUCAUUAGCUGGAUCUCAGUGUUAUGCUUGGUUCCACUCGGCGUGAUAAGUUAUCUAUCGCUGAGGACACUGUAAAAGGUGGCCAAGGUAAAUGCAGAUGAACCGCUUCUAACAGUCCAUUGACUUGGACAAUACUUUUAUGAUCUGAUCUCAAAUCAGGUAGGACUACCCGCUGAACUUAAGC